Molecule: ribosomal RNA, 234 nt
Filed under: uncultured bacterium
Lineage: Bacteria
Description: partial 16S ribosomal RNA
Rfam family: Bacterial small subunit ribosomal RNA
Source: RNAcentral
UGGGUAAUCUGCCCUCGAUUCUGGGAUAGCCCGGGGAAACCCGGAUUAAUACCGGAUAGCCUCUCGAGCUCUCGAGCUCGUGAGAAAAGGUAGCUUCGGCCUCCGAUCGAGGAUGAGCCCGCGGCGGAUUAGCUUGUUGGUGGGGUAAUGGCCUACCAAGGCAUCGAUCCGUAGCUGGUCUGAGAGGACGAUCAGCCACACUGGGACUGAGAUACGGCCCAGACCUCUACGGGA